This 103-nucleotide ribosomal RNA is filed under the name uncultured bacterium. RNAcentral describes it as "partial 16S ribosomal RNA". It matches the Rfam family "Bacterial small subunit ribosomal RNA", at positions 1380 to 1482 of the family's 1533-position model. The record is from RNAcentral.
CUUGUACACACCGCCCGUCACACCAUGGAAGUUGGUUGCACCAGAAGUAGGUAGCCUAACCGCAAGGAGGGCGCUUACCACGGCAGGGUUCGUGACUGGGGUG